Molecule: ribosomal RNA, 478 nt
Filed under: uncultured bacterium
Lineage: Bacteria
Description: partial 16S ribosomal RNA
Rfam family: Bacterial small subunit ribosomal RNA
Source: RNAcentral
GACGAACGCUGGCGGCGUGCUUAACGCAUGCAAGUCGAACGGUAAGGCCCUUCGGGGUACACGAGUGGCGAACGGGUGAGUAACACGUGGGUGAUCUGCCCUGCACUUCGGGAUAAGCCUGGGAAACUGGGUCUAAUACCGGAUAGGACCACUGCCUGCAUGGGUGGUGGUGGAAAGCUUUUGCGGUGUGGGAUGGGCCCGCGGCCUAUCAGCUUGUUGGUGGGGUGAUGGCCUACCAAAGCGACGACGGGUAGCCGGCCUGAGAGGGUGACCGGACACACUGGGACUGAGAUACGGCCCAGACUCCUACGGGAGGCAGCAGUGGGGAAUAUUGCACAAUGGGCGCAAGCCUGAUGCAGCGACGCCGCGUGAGGGAUGACGGCCUUCGGGUUGUAAACCUCUUUCAGCACCGACGAAGCGCAAGUGACGGUAGGUGCAGAAGAAGGACCGGCCAACUACGUGCCAGCCGCCGCAGUAA